RNAcentral lists this ribosomal RNA (492 nucleotides) under uncultured bacterium. RNAcentral describes it as "partial 16S ribosomal RNA". It matches the Rfam family "Bacterial small subunit ribosomal RNA", at positions 29 to 507 of the family's 1533-position model. The record is from RNAcentral.
AGUGAACGCUGGCGGUAGGCCUAACACAUGCGAGUCGAACGGCAGCACGGUAAGAGCUUGCUCUUACGGGUGGCGAGUGGCGGACGGGUGAGGAAUACAUCGGAAUCUACUUUUUCGUGGGGGAUAACGUAGGGAAACUUACGCUAAUACCGCAUACGACCUACGGGUGAAAGCAGGGGAUCUUCGGACCUUGCGCGAUUGAAUGAGCCGAUGUCGGAUUAGCUAGUUGGCGGGGUAAAGGCCCACCAAGGCGACGAUCCGUAGCUGGUCUGAGAGGAUGAUCAGCCACACUGGAACUGAGACACGGUCCAGACUCCUACGGGAGGCAGCAGUGGGGAAUAUUGGACAAUGGGCGCAAGCCUGAUCCAGCCAUACCGCGUGGGUGAAGAAGGCCUUCGGGUUGUAAAGCCCUUUUGUUGGGAAAGAAAAGCAGCAGGUUAAUACCCCGCUGUUCUGACGGUACCCAAAGAAUAAGCACCGGCUAACUUCGUG